This is a long non-coding RNA of Alosa sapidissima (American shad), 3718 nucleotides long. RefSeq lists it as uncharacterized. The transcript has 3 exons. The record is from RefSeq and is a predicted model, not a curated record. Lineage: Eukaryota; Metazoa; Chordata; Actinopteri; Clupeiformes; Clupeidae.
AACACUGAAGGUAAGUACAUUAUUCGUUCUCUAAAUGUUAUUUAGACUUGUAUACAAAUAUAACAUAGUCUUUUUCUACACAAUAAACAUUACAGAAAAUGUAUGUUUAUAGCUUCGUUUUGAGAAAUCGCUUUGUACCGAUCCCCUAUGCAAACAAUACCGUUAUUAAUGAUGUCUUAAGUGGGCUGCUAGUGAGUUAACGUUAGCUCCUAGGUAAAAUUAGCAAGCUAAAUGGAAGCAAAGUAAUGAAACAGGCAGAUUUAAUAAGGCUUACAUAUUUUAUUAAGUACGGAUUCGACGGUCAGUCUUGCUUACUGUAAGAAUGUUUAGAGUAUCUCACCUAUGAGCUUAUGAGCCUUUCAUCUACUGCUGCUGGCGUGUUCCUUUUGUAAGCUAUCGUGCCGGUGUAUAUUCCAAGAGCGGCAUUGUCCUUUCUGUUAAGUUCAGAUCAGUCUUCCAUAGUGCAUCACUUUCGCAUGCGACUGAAAUAUCUGACAAUUCUGAGAUAGGGCUAGCUCAGGAUAAUGAUGUGGCAAACAGUAGUGCUGACAGUUCUCAGUUCCGUGAUCUCAUGGCUGAAGAGGCUUGUAGCAUUGAAACUUCUGAUGAUGAUGAUGAUGAUGACAGUGAUUCCCAGCCCGACUUGACAUCUGUGUUAUCAGACUGGGCCAUUAGGUUUGGUGUUUCAUUAGUUGCUCUUUCAGCACUUCUUUCUAUACUCAGAGUUUUCCACCCUUGCCUUCCAAAGGAUGGUCGGUCUUUGCUGAAAACUAAGACACAUUAUGUGGUGGAAAACUUAGCAGGUGGUUCUUUCUAUUAUUUUGGAAUUCUGAAUACACUCAGGACAACUUUUGAGAAAUUGUCAAGCAAAGUCCAAGAUAGACACUUGUUUAAAAUACAGCUGAAUAUUGAUGGUUUACCACUUUUUAAAAGUUCCUCUGUGCAGUUCUGGCCUGUCUUGGGUAUGUUACAAGACAUGAAAAGACCUGUAUUGAUUGCGCUGUUCUGUGGUAGAUCCAAGCCUACAUCCUUGCCAGAGUACCUCAGGGCUCUUAUAAAUGAGCUGAAAAAGUUGCCAGAUGGAGUUGUCAUAAGUGGAAAGACUGUUUUUGUUUAAGUGAGUUCAGUUAUAUGUGACGCUCCAGCUAGAGCUUACGUCAAAGCCAUUAAGGGUCACACUGGGUAUUCUGGAUGUGAUAAAUGUGUUCAGCCAGGUGUUUACAUUGAACAUCGUAUGACUUUCCCUGAUAUGCACGCUGUUCAUAGGACUGAUGAGUUUUUCAAGGGAUGUAGUGAUGAAGAUUACCAUCAUGGGCGCUCACCUUUUUCUGAAUUGAAUAUUGGCAUGGUCAGCUGUUUUCCCCAUGAUUAUAUGCAUUUGGUUUGUCUUGGUGUGGUACGCAAGCUUUUAGAUUUAUGGAUGGGUACUGCUGGGCCUCGACGUUGUCGGAUUUCUGCUGGUCAAUGCAGUGUCGUAUCUGACAAACUGACUAGUUUGAAAGCCUUUGUACCUACUGAGUUUGCCAGGAAACCAAGAGUGCUUACAGAGAGAGGUGGAAAGCAACUGAACUGAGACAAUUUCUGUUGUACACAGGUCCAGUUGUUCUAAGGGGUGUAUUAUCUGAGGAGGUUUACAAUAACUUCAUGCUGCUUUCCGUUGCCAUUCAUGUUUUAGCUAGUCCUUUGUUAUGUUUAGUGUGGAACGAUUUUGCUAAGACAUUACUGUACUCAUUUGUAGACCAUUUCAGUCAGUUGUAUGGUGCCCAGUUUGUAGUAUACAACAUACAUGGUCUAGUUCACCUCAGUGAUGAUGUCAAAGUUGAUGGUCACGUAGACCUCAUAUCGGGAUUUCCUUUUGAAAAUUAUUUACAGACAUUAAAGAAAAUGGUUAGGAAACCACACAGUCCUCUGACUCAAGUAAUUAGACGUGUCUCCGAAAUUGACAGGAUCAGUGCUGAGAGCAUUACUGAAAAACCCAGAAACGUAGCCAAAAGGCAGCACAGAGAUGGACCUGUGCCUCAGUCAAUGGACAGCACUGUCACACAGUUUAAACACGUAAUUAUUGAUGGUGUGACUAUCAGAACGUCAUAUGGUGAUAACUGCCUUAGAAUUGACAAUGAUGUUGCUUUAGUCCAAAACAUUCUUCUGCAUAAAGGGUUUUAUUAUGUGAUGUAUAAGCAGUACACAAAAACAGAGAGUUUUUUUUAGUUAUCCUGUGGACUCUUCUGAACUAGGCAUCCUGGUUGUUUCAGGUCUGUCACCACACUUUAAAUGUGCAAGGCUUGACAAGAAUAUAAGAAAAUAUGUUAGAAUUCCACUUGAGAUUAGGGACAGCUUUGUUGUUUUACCUCUACUACACCUUAACUUUGUUUAAUCCUCAAUUUUAGUAUAUAUUUGUUCAUUAGACCUCCCAUACUGUGUUGUUGGUAUUUGCUGGUAGAGUGAAAUGCUCUUGAUGGCUGUUCUGGUGGUGAUGUUGUUUGUUCCUGGUUGGGUUCUUUUCUCUGGGAGAUUAGGCUAUAGUUUUGCUUAGAGACCAUGCCUUGGUUGGUUAAGAGUAUUUGUAUAUUUUAAUGUGGUAAGUUAUAUGGUGGCAACAUGGGGUGCAAGCUAGAGUAAUCUAACUGGCUCAUUUGUUUUGUGUUUGUGACAAACUGUGCCUAGGUUGAUGUUGGUUGGUUAGGGUUUUUAUGGUUAUGGUUCAGGCCACAUCAACGGGACGGACCAACCUAACCAACCUAGACCAUGCCUAGUGCUGUCUGGUUGGGUUUUUGACUGUCUGUUGCCUAUUAUUUGUAAAAUAGUUUAUUGAAAAAAGUGAUUUUCAUAGAUUUAUCUCAUAUUGUUCCUAAAGCUUUAUUACUUUAAAUACUGUUAAUAGGCCUACAUUUACCGAUUAUCUAUAUGCAUGUUAAAUGUUCAGAUUUAACACAAAUGCAUUAGGCUAUAGGCUAUUCAGUGGAGUUCUUUACACUAACAUUUUUUUGUAUGUCUGUGUGAAGUUUGUCUCUGUCAGUGAUUUUGUCUAAAAAAUACACACAAAAAACAAAAAACAAAAAGAAAAAAAAUGUCUUAACAUUGUCUUCUGUCGUGUCUCGUCCUACUAACACCCCACUCGUAGCCUGUACCUUGACGUGGUGAGUGGGCUUACAACUAAACAGGUCUUGCUUUCAUCAAUGAUGUUAUAUGUGGUGUGGACUCUGCAGUGUAUCACAGCACCCCUAGACCAUUCAUUCUACUCACAAACUUUAUACCAUUUUCAUUUUUUAAUGUUGGUUAAGUUUAGAUAUUAGGAUGUACCAUAUCAUAAGUUUCGAAGAUACAGCGGAGGUAGAGGUGGUGCCAGCCUUGUGGGUGAAUGAUGGCGACGGAAGUUGCCCCUCGCAGAGCAGCAGACCGAUCUGCAGUCUGAGGCUGAGUGUGACCUUGGAAGGCCCAAAAAGAGGAAGAUCAAGCCAAAGACACAUACUGGAGUCUGAGAGUGAGGAUGACACUGUGGUGAAAAGAACUCUGCCAAAAGCCCCCACAUUAGAGCAGCCAUCGUUCAGGAGAUACGUGGUAUCCCAGGAUACCAGGGGGUGUAUUGAGAUCCCUAAAGAUAGUUCCUUGGAUAUCCCAGAAUAUCAGCAUGUGACCUUAGGGACUUCCCUUCGCCAGGCCAUUGAGGUGACAAAUGGUUCAGCUCAGUUAGGGGCCAGGAGCAGCUGGACCACUGGGC